GCUGAGGUAGCUUAGCCAGGUACGGCGCCGGCCUUGAGAGCCGGUGGUGCUCGACACCACGGGGGUUCGAAUCCCUCCCUCAGCG
RNAcentral lists this transfer RNA (85 nucleotides) under Thermoplasmatota archaeon. Its description in RNAcentral is "Candidatus Thermoplasmatota archaeon tRNA-Ser". It matches the Rfam family "tRNA". From Rfam's summary of the family: Transfer RNA (tRNA) molecules are approximately 80 nucleotides in length. Their secondary structure includes four short double-helical elements and three loops (D, anti-codon, and T loops). Further hydrogen bonds mediate the characteristic L-shaped molecular structure. tRNAs have two regions of fundamental functional importance: the anti-codon, which is responsible for specific mRNA codon recognition, and the 3' end, to which the tRNAs corresponding amino acid is attached (by aminoacyl-tRNA synthetases). tRNAs cope with the degeneracy of the genetic code in two manners: having more than one tRNA (with a specific anti-codon) for a particular amino acid; and 'wobble' base-pairing, i.e. permitting non-standard base-pairing at the 3rd anti-codon position. Lineage: Archaea; Methanobacteriati; Thermoplasmatota. The record is from RNAcentral.